This 424-nucleotide long non-coding RNA is filed under the name Struthio camelus australis. RNAcentral's name for it is "lncRNA (ENSSCUG00000016788.1)". The record is from RNAcentral. Lineage: Eukaryota; Metazoa; Chordata; Aves; Struthioniformes; Struthionidae.
CGGAGCUGUUAGGAAGACGAAACAAAAACCACAAGGGUACUUCUCCUUCUGCUCCUUUCCCAGUGAAACUACGCUUUGCGGCAUUUGUUCAGGAUCCCCUAACGAUCUUAGACAACACGCCUCGAACCCAGUCAGACUCCUGCUUCAAGGGACUCAGAUUGCAUUUUAAAUCAAAAUGCUCUCCAUGACUGACUGCUUUGCAGCGUUAGGGUUGUUGCCACUUUUGCUGCUUUAACGUCAGAGAAGCCAAGUAAUUCUCAGGUCUCUGUGAAAUAUGCCCCAUCUGAGCUGAAUUUCUGCCUACAGACCAACCGAUAGAGACAAACGUAAGAAAUAUUUGUUAUCGUCAAGUAAGGUUUUCUUUUUACUUAAUCUGAGGCAAUUAGUACCUGAAUAAACACAGACUAAGUAAUCUGCCUCCUCA